AUCCAGAUGACGAGUAUCAAAUAGGACGAAAUGCGCAUCCUGGAU
Molecule: non-coding RNA, 45 nt
Organism: Trichobilharzia regenti
Lineage: Eukaryota; Metazoa; Platyhelminthes; Trematoda; Strigeidida; Schistosomatidae
Source: Rfam